Molecule: unclassified non-coding RNA, 364 nt
Filed under: Hevea brasiliensis (rubber tree)
Lineage: Eukaryota; Viridiplantae; Streptophyta; Magnoliopsida; Malpighiales; Euphorbiaceae
Source: RNAcentral
GGAUCCUUGAGAUACUCCUUCACCUGCUCAGCCUGUGGGUAAGAAUACUCGGUAGCAACAGCCACUGCAAGAACAUUCUUGUACGCAUUGAUGAACAUGUGGGGAGCAGCUGCAAGAGUUGGAUAUGAGAGAGCCAAGGACAGGGAAGCAACCAUUGAAACUCCAGCAGCAAAUCUCUCAAUCAAAUCAUCCUCGGAGAGGUCUAGCACCUCAGGACUGAACACCGACCCAUUGUCGUACACAGACACAACAACAAGACCGUAGGAGAAUGGCCUGAUCCCGAGCUUUGCAAGGAGGGCAGCCUCAGAGGAUCCCACCUUGUCUCCCUUCUUGAUCAGCUCAACAGGGGUAAUGAUCUCAACGG